GUGAGGAAUAUUGGUCAAUGGACGAGAGUCUGAACCAGCCAAGUCGCGUGAAGGAAGACGGUUCUAUGAAUUGUAAACUUCUUUUGUGCAGGAAUAAAGUGGGUUACGUGUAACCUUUUGUAUGUACUGUACGAAUAAGGAUCGGCUAACUCCGUGCCAGCAGCCGCGGUAAUACGGAGGAUCCGAGCGUUAUCCGGAUUUAUUUGGUUUAAAGGGUGCGUAGGUGGAUUGAUAAGUCAGCGGUGAAAGUUUGCAGCUUAACUGUAAAAUUGCCGUUGAAACUGUCGGUCUUGAGUGCAAAUGAGGUAGGCGGAAUGUGUUGUGUAGCGGUGAAAUGCUUAGAUAUAACACAGAACUCCGAUUGCGAAGGCAGCUUACUGGGAUGCAACUGACACUGAUGCACGAAAGCGUGGGUAUCAAACAGGAUUAGAAACCCGUGUAGUCC
This 445-nucleotide ribosomal RNA is filed under the name uncultured bacterium. RNAcentral's name for it is "partial 16S ribosomal RNA". It matches the Rfam family "Bacterial small subunit ribosomal RNA", at positions 354 to 796 of the family's 1533-position model. The record is from RNAcentral.